This 508-nucleotide long non-coding RNA is filed under the name Bos taurus (domestic cattle). Its description in RNAcentral is "long non-coding RNA NONBTAT000050". The record is from RNAcentral. Lineage: Eukaryota; Metazoa; Chordata; Mammalia; Artiodactyla; Bovidae.
UAAACACUAGAGCAGAGGCUGUGAUGACUCUGAUUGAUGACUUUAUUUUCAUUCUGAAGCACAGGAAGGUAAAUGACAUCUUAUAUAACAAGUUCCAAGUUUUUAAGAGAAAUUUGCAUCAGAUUGUACACAGGGUCAAUGUAUUAUAGUGAGAAAAGCCUGGACUUUUGGGGUGGAGGGAUUUAUUAAGCUGAGUUUGUUUUUUGGAAUCAAUUCUUUCGUUUAUAAUAUGAAAUUAAGAAUCGGAAAUGAUAUUUCAUAGGGACAUUGUAAGAUAUGUGAAGUUCUUGGUAUAUAUUAACCCUUUAACAAAUAUUAGCUUCCUUCUCUCCCACUGUGUGUGUUUCUCUUUUUAUAUGAAUCAUAGGUACUAAUGUAGCUUUCCUUUUCCUGUAGUGAGCUGAAAAGCAAUUCUCUUCCAUUUUAUUUUUCUGCUUUAGAGCUGUUGUUGGUAACUGGUGGAAAUAGCAGAUGAGGCUGUGUCUAUCCCAGGAUUAAUAUUACAAAG